RNAcentral lists this ribosomal RNA (301 nucleotides) under uncultured bacterium. RNAcentral's name for it is "partial 16S ribosomal RNA". It matches the Rfam family "Bacterial small subunit ribosomal RNA", at positions 509 to 809 of the family's 1533-position model. The record is from RNAcentral.
CAGUCGCCGCGGUAAUACAGAGGGUGCGAGCGUUAAUCGGAUUUACUGGGCGUAAAGCGUGCGUAGGCGGCUAAUUGAGUCGGAUGUGAAAUCCCCGAGCUUAACUUGGGAAUUGCAUUCGAUACUGGUUAGCUAGAGUGUGGGAGAGGAUGGUAGAAUUCCAGGUGUAGCGGUGAAAUGCGUAGAGAUCUGGAGGAAUACCGAUGGCGAAGGCAGCCAUCUGGCCUAACACUGACGCUGAGGUACGAAAGCAUGGGGAGCAAACAGGAUUAGAGACCCCGGUAGUCCCUGUCUCUUAUAA